UAUAGCUCAGUUGGGAGAGCGCUUGAAUGGCAUUCAAGAGGUCGUCGGUUCGAUCCCGAUUAUCUCCACCA
This 71-nucleotide transfer RNA is filed under the name Caudoviricetes sp. Its description in RNAcentral is "tRNA-Ala". It matches the Rfam family "tRNA". From Rfam's summary of the family: Transfer RNA (tRNA) molecules are approximately 80 nucleotides in length. Their secondary structure includes four short double-helical elements and three loops (D, anti-codon, and T loops). Lineage: Duplodnaviria; Heunggongvirae; Uroviricota; Caudoviricetes. The record is from RNAcentral.